This 75-nucleotide transfer RNA is filed under the name Cordylochernes scorpioides. RNAcentral describes it as "tRNA-Thr". The record is from RNAcentral. Lineage: Eukaryota; Metazoa; Arthropoda; Arachnida; Pseudoscorpiones; Chernetidae.
UAUCAAGGGAUGGGAAUCGAACCCACGACCUUCCGCUUACCGGGCAGAUGCCAUGACCACUAGGCUACCUUGGAC